This is a long non-coding RNA of Carassius auratus (goldfish), 222 nucleotides long. RefSeq lists it as uncharacterized. The transcript has 3 exons. The record is from RefSeq and is a predicted model, not a curated record. Lineage: Eukaryota; Metazoa; Chordata; Actinopteri; Cypriniformes; Cyprinidae.
GCACAAUCCAGCUGGCUUGACUGAGUAUCUUCUUUUACAUAUUUGAUUAGAGGUUUAAAAAGGUGGAACAAAAUGGAGAACAAGUCUAAGCCAUGUCAGGAAUUCAACAAAAUGUACACCCUGCAGACACUGCGACGAGGUUUACAUCAACUGCUUACCAGGUCACUGCAGUCACCCGGAUCGAGUACGUAUCCAGAUCAGAUGGUGGAUCACCACCUAGAA